Molecule: ribosomal RNA, 600 nt
Filed under: Odorrana livida (green cascade frog)
Lineage: Eukaryota; Metazoa; Chordata; Amphibia; Anura; Ranidae
Description: partial 16S ribosomal RNA
Rfam family: Archaeal large subunit ribosomal RNA (bases 344-592)
Source: RNAcentral
UUAUUUGAAAUAGGAUACAACCUCAACCACUGGGUAAAAAAAGACAAUAAAAAUAAAGUGGGCCCAAGAGCAGCCACCUUUAAAAAAGCGUCAAAGCUUCACUAUUACAGUCCCAAAUUACUAAAGCACCCACUAACCCGUCAUCUCUACUGAACCACUUUAUAUACUAUAAAAACGAUUAUGCUAGAACUAGUAACAAGAACUUGCCAUUCUCCUCAAUGUAAUUAUAAACCAAAACGGACUCUCCGCUGGUAAUUAACGUAAAUGAAAAACCAUAAUAACACAUAAACCAGAAAACCUUAUGGCCACAACACGUUACCCUAACACUAGAACAUUUCAGGAAAGAUUAAAAGAAAGAGAAGGAACUCGGCAAAUUUUAGCCCCGCCUGUUUACCAAAAACAUCGCCUCCUGCUUAAACAUAGGAGGUCCAGCCUGCCCAGUGAUAACAUUAAACGGCCGCGGUAUUCUGACCGUGCGAAGGUAGCAUAAUCACUUGUUCCUUAAAUAGGGACUCGUAUCAACGGCAUCACGAGGGCUAUACUGUCUCCCCUCUCCAAUCAGUGAAACUGAUCCCCCCGUGAAGAAGCGGGGAUUUAGCU